CUGUUUUUCAGUUACCAUAAGAAAUAGUCAAUUUAUUUGGUGUAUGAAAUGAUUGUGAAGUGUACAUGUUUUUCUGGCAGGAUUUUUAUACGACCCCAAAAAAAUUUUGGGUUCGUAUAAUGGUAUGAUGUCGUCGUCUGCGUCGUCAGCGUCGUCUGCGUCGUCCUUAGACACUUUGGUUUCCGGAUAAUGACUUAUGUUUAAGUGAAUAGAUCUUAAUGAAAUUUUUUCAGAAGGUUCAAUACCACAAAAGGAAGGUUGGGAUUUAUUUUGGGGAUGAUGGUCCGAACCGUUUAGGAAUUAGGGGCCCAAAAGGGUAUAAUAAUAAUAACUUGUUUACCAGUAUUUCAAUUGCUCUGAAAGUAUACUGCAAUGUUUAAAAUCACAAGUAGAAGGUUUGGAUUCAUUUAAGGGGUUAUGGGGCCAAAGUUUAGGAAUUAAGGGCCAAAAAGGGGCCAAAACAAGCAUUUUUUCUAGUUUCCAGACAAUACCUUGUGUGUAAUUGCAUGGAUCUCUCUGAAAUUGUACCACAAUGUACCAUAUAACAAAGGGGAGGCUGGGAUUAAGUUUUGGGUUAAUUGCCCAAAAUAUGUAGGAAUUAAGGGCCAAAAAGAAGCAUGUUUCUAGUUUCCAAACAAUCAUGACAAUAACUUGUGUUUAAGUGUAUGGAUCUCUCUGAAAUCGUACUACAAGGUUCAAUAUUACAAAGGAAAGCAUGGGAUUGAGUUUAAGGGUUAUUGCUCCAAGGGGGGUUUCAAUAAAUUGGGGGGGGGUCUCAGUUUACCAUUUUUUUAAGGGAUUUUUUUUUUUUUCAACAUUUGUGCAAUAGAUGUGUUAGAUCUUGAGCCACAUUAAUGUUGUGGCAAAAAUCUAUAUUAUGUCAAAAAUUUGAUCACAAUCAAAAUUCAGACAGUAUCAAACUUGAAUAUUGUGACUAAAUUUGCCCCAACUGUUCAGGGUUCGA
RNAcentral lists this long non-coding RNA (964 nucleotides) under Mytilus galloprovincialis (Mediterranean mussel). Lineage: Eukaryota; Metazoa; Mollusca; Bivalvia; Mytilida; Mytilidae. The record is from RNAcentral.